Molecule: non-coding RNA, 25 nt
Filed under: Mus musculus (house mouse)
Lineage: Eukaryota; Metazoa; Chordata; Mammalia; Rodentia; Muridae
Source: RNAcentral
UGCCAGCUGUGUUGUGCACAGGUGU